AAGUUUGCUUAAAGCAAUGCAAUUUGGUCCUGAACAUGGGUGGUUCUCUCUGUUCUACUCCUGCCUGAUUAAAAAUGCAAACAUAGGAAACAAGAAUGAUAAAGAAAGUACUAUAGAAGCCAAGUUUAGAGAGCUUGAAAAAGAAAGUAGCUAGCAACUGUAACCCUUCUGGGCAAAGUUUCAUGCAUACAUUGAAGAAUGGCACUGAUUUACUUGCCUGCAAAGCUGAAUACUACAAUCAAUGUGAUGAAUACAACAAAUGUUUCGAACUAACAUCGAUGUAAGUUUGCAGGACUGUUUAAACAGAAUAUGUUUUAAACAUGCACGUUAGAUGCGAUCGCUUAUUUGAGUUUUCUUUUUUUACUUUAAAAAACUUCUCGAGAAGGACCCUUUCCAUUUGAAAUGUACAUUGGUUCAUUUAGCUGCUGCUAUGGAGCUUGGAAAUUCAAAUGAGCUUUAUCUUAUGGCUUGUGAUUUGGUGAAGGAUUAUCCUCAAAAAUUAAUGAAGAUUACUGAUUUACUAAAGGUGAAUGCAGAAUGCCAGAUGGAUUUGGUACUUUGAUACACAAUUCAGUAGAAUGCUGCAGAUGAACAUCACAUCAAUGCCUAGAUUAAUAUGAUUUGUUCAUGGAGAUGAGAACUCAUAUUGAGUGAACUUUCUUAAACCACCAUUUAUAAAAAAAAAAAAGAGCUAAACAUCAGUUUUUCCUGUGUUAUACUGCUGCGAAUAUCUCAUUAGUUCGGUCUUCUCCGAUUUGCCCUCUCCAGGAUUGCUUGCUGCAGGGAUCCCAUACCAUAUUUUGGGCAUAUUGAAUGUGGAAAAAGGAGAUUUGCUUUCGAGCGAGUUUCAGUGGUGAUUAGAUAGUAAAGGAUUGUGUUAUUGAAAUUGGAAUAUCAAGGAGUCUUUUCUUAAUAGUUAGUUUUGAUUUAAAACAGGAUGUUCACUGAAGGUGACCAAAUAUAUUUCAUAGAGUGGCAGGAAAUUUUACAUUUUUAAAGCUAAA
Mercurialis annua (annual mercury) is the source of this 1004-nucleotide long non-coding RNA. RefSeq lists it as uncharacterized. NCBI's taxonomy places the organism in Eukaryota, Viridiplantae, Streptophyta, Magnoliopsida, Malpighiales, Euphorbiaceae. The transcript has 3 exons. The record is from RefSeq and is a predicted model, not a curated record.